AUUGAACGCUGGCGGCAGGCUUAACACAUGCAAGUCGAGCGGGGUGAUGGUGCUUGCACUAUCACUUAGCGGCGGACGGGUGAGUAAUGCUUAGGAAUCUGCCUAUUAGUGGGGGACAACAUCUCGAAAGGGAUGCUAAUACCGAAUACGUCCUACGGGAGAAAGCAGGGGAUCACUUGUGACCUUUCGCUAAUAGAUGAGCCUAAGUCGGAUUAGCUAGUUGGUGGGGUAAAGGCCUACCAAGGCGACGAUCUGUAGCGGGUCUGAGAGGAUGAUCCGCCACACUGGGACUGAGACACGGCCCAGACUCCUACGGGAGGCAGCAGUGGGGAAUAUUGGACAAUGGGGGGAACCCUGAUCCAGCCAUGCCGCGUGUGUGAAGAAGGCCUUAUGGUUGUAAAGCACUUUAAGCGAGGAGGAGGCUCUUUUGGUUAAUACCCAAGAUGAGUGGACGUUACUCGCAGAAUAAGCACCGGCUAACUCUGUGCCAGCAGCCGCCGUAA
Molecule: ribosomal RNA, 503 nt
Filed under: uncultured bacterium
Lineage: Bacteria
Description: partial 16S ribosomal RNA
Rfam family: Bacterial small subunit ribosomal RNA
Source: RNAcentral